GUCCUUUAAUCCCUGGCCUUAUCUUAUAGUUAGGAUAGCUUUAUGCCUACCCCACGCAUGCUUAAACUUCUUUACUGUGUUAACCUCUACCACUUCAGCUGGAAGGCAAUUCCAUGCAUCCACUACCCGCAUAAGGCGAGAAAAUACAGUGGAAUGGACCAACACCUUAGUCGCAUCUGGCGUUAAGUAGGGGCGGAUGCACGCAAUGUUUUUGAGAUGGAAAUGACAGGAUUUGGCGAUAGAUUGAACAUGAGGCUUGAAGGAGAGGUCGGAAUCAAAGAGAACAAAAGAGAACACCUAGGCAGCAAGCCUGCAUGGUGGAGCUGAUGGUAGCACCGUUGACUUGGAGGGAGACAGACACAGGAGUAACAACACUUGAAGGAAGAAAAAACAGAAUUUCAGUUUUGGUCAAGUUUAGUUUAAGGAAGUGGGCAGCCAUCCAGUUAGAAACAGCAGAGAGGCAGUCAGAGACACUAGUCAAGAGGGACGGGGAAAGAUCAGGAGAGGACAGGUAGAUUUGCGUGUCAUCUGCAAAGAAAUGAUAUUGGAAGCCAAAGGAGCUAAUAAG
Molecule: non-coding RNA, 568 nt
Organism: Pelobates cultripes (western spadefoot toad)
Lineage: Eukaryota; Metazoa; Chordata; Amphibia; Anura; Pelobatidae
Source: the annotation of a GenBank genome assembly